GCACUGUUGGUGUAGUGGUAACAUCUGAGCUUCCCAUGCUCAGGCGCCGCGUUCGAUUCGCGGGCAGUGCA
Non-coding RNA from Biscogniauxia sp. FL1348, 71 nucleotides. Lineage: Eukaryota; Fungi; Ascomycota; Sordariomycetes; Xylariales; Xylariaceae. The record is from the annotation of a GenBank genome assembly.